UAGAAGAGUUGCUUCAUAAGUACCACUGCUGUGAUCUUUUCUGUAGGUUCCCAUGACAAUGCUAUAGGGGCUUUGUUUGUUCAUGGGAACUUGAGGAACACAGGGAAUUCUUGUUCAAUAAUGAACGCAAUGCGGCUUGGAAAAGACUCUUGGUAGACACGAACAAAAAAGUAUAGCCAGAGCAGCCUUCAGAAAUCAUUCCUGCAGUUUUUGGAAGCGUUUCUCAAGGUCUGAAUGGAGGCUGUGAAGGUGAUGCUGGCUGUGAUUUCCAUUUAUCAAGGGAAUGAACAAGGUAUAUCAAGGCCAAGUGACCUAUUCUGUGACUCUGGCAUCUGGCCUCUAGUAACACAACCAGGCCAAGAAUCAGGCUGACUCUCCCAGUAAUUCAGGGGAAGCAAUGGCUCCAUUUAUA
RNAcentral lists this long non-coding RNA (412 nucleotides) under Homo sapiens (human). Its description in RNAcentral is "HSALNT0158542". The record is from RNAcentral. Lineage: Eukaryota; Metazoa; Chordata; Mammalia; Primates; Hominidae.